RNAcentral lists this ribosomal RNA (125 nucleotides) under Eurotiales sp. RNAcentral describes it as "partial small subunit ribosomal RNA". It matches the Rfam family "Eukaryotic small subunit ribosomal RNA", at positions 1657 to 1779 of the family's 1831-position model. Lineage: Eukaryota; Fungi; Ascomycota; Eurotiomycetes; Eurotiales. The record is from RNAcentral.
CCUUUGUACACACCGCCCGUCGCUACUACCGAUUGAAUGGCUCAGUGAGGCCUUCGGACUGGCUCAGGGGGGUUGGCAACGACCGCCCAGAGCCGGAAAGUUGGUCAAACUUGGUCAUUUAGAGG